RNAcentral lists this ribosomal RNA (471 nucleotides) under uncultured bacterium. Its description in RNAcentral is "partial 16S ribosomal RNA". It matches the Rfam family "Bacterial small subunit ribosomal RNA", at positions 29 to 507 of the family's 1533-position model. The record is from RNAcentral.
ACGCACGCUGGCGGCGUGCUUAACCCCUGCAAGUCGAACGCUGAAGCUUGGUGCUUGCACUGGGUGGAUGAGUGGCGAACGGGUGAGUAAUAAGUGAGUAACCUGCCCUUGACUCUGGGAUAAGCCUGGGAAACUGGGUCUAAUACUGGAUACGACAUGUCACCGCAUGGUGGUGUGUGGAAAGGGUUUUACUGGUUUUGGAUGGGCUCACGGCCUAUCAGCUUGUUGGUGGGGUAAUGGCUCACCAAGGCGACGACGGGUAGCCGGCCUGAGAGGGUGACCGGCCACACUGGGACUGAGACACGGCCCAGACUCCUACGGGAGGCAGCAGUGGGGAAUAUUGCACAAUGGGCGGAAGCCUGAUGCAGCGACGCCGCGUGAGGGAUGACGGCCUUCGGGUUGUAAACCUCUUUCAGCACGGAAGAAGCGAAAGUGACGGUACGUGCAGAAGAAGCGCCGGCUAACUACGUG